Molecule: ribosomal RNA, 386 nt
Filed under: uncultured bacterium
Lineage: Bacteria
Description: bacterial SSU rRNA
Rfam family: Bacterial small subunit ribosomal RNA
Source: RNAcentral
AAUCUGCCCUCAGGAGGGGGACAACAGCUGGAAACGGCUGCUAAUACCCCAUAUGCCGCGAGGUGAAAUGAAUUUCGCCUGAGGAUGAGCUCGCGUCUGAUUAGCUAGUUGGUGCAGGUAAUGGCUCACCAAGGCAUCGAUCAGUAGCUGGUCUGAGAGGAUGAUCAGCCACACUGGGACUGAGACACGGCCCAGACUCCUACGGGAGGCAGCAGUGGGGAAUUUUCCGCAAUGGGCGAAAGCCUGACGGAGCAACGCCGCGUGAGGGAUGAAGGCCUCUGGGCUGUAAACCUCUUUUAUCAAGGAAGAAGAUCUGACGGUACUUGAUGAAUAAGCCACGGCUAAUUCCGUGCCAGCAGCCGCGGUAAUACGGGAGUGGCAAGCGU